RNAcentral lists this ribosomal RNA (245 nucleotides) under uncultured bacterium. RNAcentral describes it as "partial small subunit ribosomal RNA". It matches the Rfam family "Bacterial small subunit ribosomal RNA", at positions 26 to 285 of the family's 1533-position model. The record is from RNAcentral.
AGAAUCAACGCUGGCGGCGUGCCUAACACAUGCAAGUCGAACGAGAAAGUGGAGCAAUCCAUGAGUAAAGUGGCGCACGGGUGAGUAACACGUGACUAACCUACCCUUGAGUGGGGGAUAAACCUAGAGAAAUCUGGGCUAAUACCGCAUAAUACCUUCGGGUCAAAGGAGCAAUUCGCUUAGGGAGGGGUCGCGGCCGAUUAGUUAGUUGGCGGGGUAAUGGCCCACCAAGACUGUGAUCGGUA